Molecule: non-coding RNA, 97 nt
Filed under: Flavobacterium frigoris
Lineage: Bacteria; Pseudomonadati; Bacteroidota; Flavobacteriia; Flavobacteriales; Flavobacteriaceae
Description: SAM-I-IV sequence
Rfam family: SAM-I/IV (S-adenosyl methionine) riboswitch aptamer
About the family: It is found upstream of a number of genes which code for proteins involved in methionine or cysteine biosynthesis.
Source: RNAcentral
AGCCGUUAUCACGAAUCUCAAAAAGAGAUAGCAACCUGCAACAACGAGCAAGGUGCUAAAACGAUAAGCCAAAUCCUUUGGAAAAAAUGUUGUUUUA